ACGGAAGGCAGCAGUGGGGAAUAUUGCACAAUGGGGGAAACCCUGAUGCAGCGACGCCGCGUGAGUGAAGAAGUAUUUCGGUAUGUAAAGCUCUAUCAGCAGGAAAGAAAAUGACGGUACCUGACUAAGAAGCCCCGGCUAACUACGUGCCAGCAGCCGCGGUAACACGUAGGGGGCAAGCGUUAUCCGGAUUUACUGGGUGUAAAGGGAGCGUAGACGGCUUUGCAAGUCUGAAGUGAAAGCCCGGGGCUCAACCCCGGAACUGCUUUGGAAACUGUAGAGCUAGAGUGCAGGAGAGGUAAGUGGAAUUCCUAGUGUAGCGGUGAAAUGCGUAGAUAUUAGGAGGAACACCAGUGGCGAAGGCGGCUUACUGGACUGUAACUGACGUUGAGGCUCGAAGGCGUGGGGAGCAAACAGGAUUAGAUACCCUGGUA
RNAcentral lists this ribosomal RNA (434 nucleotides) under uncultured Lachnospiraceae bacterium. RNAcentral's name for it is "partial 16S ribosomal RNA". It matches the Rfam family "Bacterial small subunit ribosomal RNA", at positions 341 to 792 of the family's 1533-position model. The record is from RNAcentral. Lineage: Bacteria; Bacillati; Bacillota; Clostridia; Lachnospirales; Lachnospiraceae.